RNAcentral lists this transfer RNA (72 nucleotides) under Neoconidiobolus thromboides FSU 785. RNAcentral's name for it is "tRNA-Gln". It matches the Rfam family "tRNA". Rfam says of the family: Transfer RNA (tRNA) molecules are approximately 80 nucleotides in length. The record is from RNAcentral. Lineage: Eukaryota; Fungi; Entomophthoromycota; Entomophthoromycetes; Entomophthorales; Neoconidiobolaceae.
GGUUCCAUGGUGUAAUGGUUAGCACACAAGGUUUUGAUCCUUGUGAUCCGAGUUCGAUUCUCGGUGGGACCU